UACAGAGGGUGCGAGCGUUACUCGGAUUUACUGGGCGUAACGCGAGCGUAGGCGGCUUUUUAAGUCGGCUGUGAACUCCCCGAGCUUACUUUGGGAAUUGCAUUCGAUACUGGGAAGCUAGAGUAUGGGAGAGGAUGGUAGAAUUCCAGGUGUAGCGGUGAAAUGCGUAGAGAUCUGGAGGAAUACCGAUGGCGAAGGCAGCCAUCUGGCCUAAUACUGACGCUGAGGUACGGAAGCAUGGGGAGCAAACAGG
Molecule: unclassified non-coding RNA, 253 nt
Filed under: uncultured Moraxellaceae bacterium
Lineage: Bacteria; Pseudomonadati; Pseudomonadota; Gammaproteobacteria; Moraxellales; Moraxellaceae
Description: contains 16S-23S intergenic spacer region
Rfam family: Bacterial small subunit ribosomal RNA
Source: RNAcentral